UCUGGGGCCGAGCGCUCUCCCGCCGGUCCGCACCGGCGCUGGGUAUUUGCUUUCGCGGCAGUCAGGCCAGCCGAGCCCGUUUCCAGCUCGGGGCAGCGGGACGGAGGGCCCGGCCGGCGGGGCAGCCAUGGAGGCGGCGGCACGGAGGCGGCAGCACCCGGGAGCGGCGGGUGGCCCGGGCGCGCAGCCGGGCGCCUCCUUCCUGCAGGCCAGGCACAGCUCCGUCAAGGCUGAUGAGGUUGCCAGCACGGCUCCCUUCCACCUUGAUCUCUGGUUCUACUUCACCCUGCAGAACUGGCUUCUAGACUUUGGCCGCCCCAUCGCCAUGAUGGGGGAACUGAGGCCUGAAGAGGGGAAGAACUUGCCCAGGGUCACCCAGAACGUUGGUGCACAACUGAGUCCCAAAGGAGCCUCCAACUCUCAGCUGGUGUUUCCUCUUGAGUGGUUUCCGCUUAACAAGCCCAGCGUGGGGGACUACUUCCACAUGGCCUACAACAUCAUCACGCCCUUUCUUCUGCUCAAGCUCAUCGAGCGGUCCCCACGCACCCUGCCGCGCUCCAUGAUCUAUGUCAGCAUCAUCACCUUCAUCAUGGGCGCCAGCAUCCACCUGGUGGGUGACUCUGUAAACCACCGCCUGAUCUUCAGCGGCUACCAGAACCACCUGUCAGUCCGCGAGAACCCCAUCAUCAAGAAUCUCAAGCCGGAGACGCUGAUCGACUCCUUUGAGCUGCUCUACUACUACGACGAGUACCUGGGCCACUCCAUGUGGUACAUCCCCUUCUUCCUCAUCCUCUUCAUGUACUUCAGCGGCUGCUUCACUCCCACCAAAGCUGAGAGCUCAAUGCCAGGACCAGCCCUGCCCCUGGUGGUGCCCAGCGGCCUGUACUACUGAGCAGCAAAGAUGGCUGCCGAGUCCUGUCUGCCGCACACGGUGGGGUGUUGCUCCAGGAUGUUGCUUCAAACGUGUAAGAUCCCCUAUCCAACGAAUCACUGAUGUCUCUGUCACUGUCUCUGGGCUGUUCCUUUGGUCUCAAGGCUGGGCCACUACAAGGCUUGCAGGCCUGCGGGAGUGCAGCCCAACAAUUGGCGAGCCAGCCGAGAAGCCGGGGAAACUCCCGGGCGCACCGAGAUGUCGGGGAAGAAGGACGGGGAAUGGAACGUUGUGAGGAAUCCGGGGGGUGGCCAUCCACUCGUGUGCGGGGCCCUGUGGCGUCUGUCCUUGAUGAAUGAGGGCCGCCAAGAGACUGGCGAAUCCACAGACCACCCUGAGGGUGUUGCAGAGAUGUCGCUGCCAUUACUGUGGGGAAAAAGAAGCUAGACGGUGGAAGGGGUGGCCAUGGCUGUGGGCUGGCUGCUGCUUUGGAGGCUGAGAAAGGCCACAGACACUGAGCAAGUGCCCAAGGCUCAGGUUAGGGGCCUACAGGUGGGGUGCCAGGCUGGCCCAAACCAAAACUGCCGGAACGUUAAUGGCCAGGUUGAGGCAACAAGAUGGGAAGCAGACAGCCCACCACGCCGCGUGGCUGAAGGGAAGGUAGCUUCCCCGACAGGGAGUCCAGAUGGCUGGGGCCCGUCCAGAUGGGAACCCCAAGGCGUGGGACCCUACAGAGAGCACUGAUGGAGAGGAAGAAGAUCGGGACGAGGUCAUCGAGCUCCCUGUCCCCCAGGCGCAGAUGAAGAGCUCUUUUCUCCCCCGGAGCGGAGGCAGCAGACCAUCAGGAGGGAUGCCUCUCUCUCCCACCAUAAUGGUGAUAUUCUGUUAACCUCAGGGUGUGUUUCCCGUUUCAAAGUAGCAGCCCCCACGCUUGGAGCUCAUUUGACGGCAGAGGGAUGGCUGGAGAAUGCAGACAGAAGGCAAAGACCUGGAUGACCUGUCAAAUACUUGGGUGUUAUCUGGUCAGGCAACGUAGCCCUUGACCUACUGGCCCACCGAGUGCAGAGUUACACGCUGAGGCCUGGUUACCUACACCACGGAGGACCCCACCGGCCUGACGGAGACAGCUGAUCCUCCUGAGAUACCACCUUUAGUGGAAGAAGGCACAGGCUCCAUCCCUUGGGAGGUUUCGUACACUGAUGGGUUGGCCCCCGGGGUAAUCAGUGCAGGUGGGCAGCAGUGGCCAGCCGGCCUGCAACGGACAGCAUCUGGAUGGAUGCAGUGGAUAGCCCAGGAGUGGAUGGUGGCGGGGCGACCCUAUGGGGAAAGGACCCCGAUAGUGACCAAGGAACCCACUUUAUGGGCCACGAAAUUCAGGCAUGGGCUGAUAAAAAUGACAGACACUGGCAUUUCCCCCUGCACUACAACGCCCCUGCUGCCGGGCUAAGCCGAGGGACGAAUGGACCACUUAACCCGCUAGUGAAACUGGAAACCCGCUCUCUUGACACGUGGACCAGGACGCUAACUCAGCCCCUCCGAGCUGUAACUGAACAUCCCAGGAGCAGUCGACCCAGUGCCUGCAGCAUGUUAACCCAGAAGCAACUAGGCAACACCAUCCAAGUUCAACUGUUGACCACCGAAGGACCAGUACUGAUCAGGACAAUAACUUGUUUUCACCCUGGCCGCCGGACCUAUUGCUAGGGGAACCCAGUACAAAAUGGCCUGGGAGUGGCAGCCUGAGCAGAGGGAAUCUGUUUGGGACCUGGACAGCAGUGGUGGCCUCGCCAUUGGUAAGUCUGACUGCUGGGUCUACAGCGAGAUGCUGUCGUCAUCCUCCUCUGGACUUCCAUGAAAAGUUGACCCAAUAAGCGCCUGGCUCCAAAGUCUGCCCACCUCUUGGACUCUUGAUACUCCUUAGCAGCUGUUGACUCUGUUGCAUUUGUGGUAUUUGGUUGCAGUGCCCUCUGCAUACCUGACCCCAGGGAUAUGGCGGAAGAGGGUCAGACCAAGAUUGUAAGGGUCAUAUAGGGUGUGUAGGGGUGGAGUGUAUGGUCAGGCCAUUCAAGAUGGCUGUUCUCUUGCUCUCUGUACAUCCCCAGCUCGACCAGGCCCUGCUUCGCUCCCAUGACUAUCCAAUCCUCUUAAUCGUAGGCCUUCAUCAGUAACUACUAGCUACCUCUGUGCUUGCCCCUGUCCCAGCUGCUGGUUUGCCUGGUCACUGAGGAGCCCACCUGAAGCCAAUUCCCCCUGUAACUGGUAGCCUCCUCCUCCCCUGUAGCAGUGAAAACUGCUGCUGUGUCCUGCCUGCCACCUUCCAUCCACAGUGGGGAGUCGCUGCAGGAUGUCGUUUUGGACACGUAAGAUCCCCUAUCCAACAAAUUGUCAUCUCUGUCGCUGCCUCUGGGCUUUUCGGUCUCGAGGCUGGGUUACUACAAGGCCCAACAGUCAUGUCUCCUCCAAGAGACACUUUCCAGACACAGGGAGAUUCCGAGUAAGCACUUGGCCCGGCCCUGCCAGCCUUCCCCCCAGGCCUCUGCUCUGUGCUCCCCACCCUUCCAAGCCCCCACCUGACGUCCCGUCUCCUCUUCUCCCAUAAGGCUGUCAGUGAGAAGUUCCCCUUCUCUCCUGCCUCCCUCCAGUCUCUCCUCUACUCAGCCCAAACGGGAAGAGUGUGAAUCCUCCAGCUGAAAUUCUCUGGGUCUAGAAAUGGGUGUGAACAGGUGACUCGAGAGACGCGAAGUGGAGGAAAAGAGAACCUUCCACAUGGAGGUGGUCAAGGGACAAAGGAGAGCCCCAGCUGUCCAUGUGCCAAUUACCAACGCAUCCCUCUGCGCACAUGCAGCCCCUUUCUAGGACCCACUUGUCCCUGGUCCGGGAGCUCUGGUGCAGUGCACAACAUGUGCAGCCGUACGUGUCGGUCCUGACAAAGUGGCUGGACCUUGGAGUCGGAGCCCACAGGCAGGACAGCCGUCAGCCGUGGACAAGGGAUAUAACAGGUGUCUGGGAGAAGAACGGGGAGAACCUAGCUGUGCCCAGCGCUGUAGCUCCAGGGAACCGCCCCCCUCACUUCCUCGGUGGGUGUGGGGAGGGGUGGGGGGCAGCACAAACCACUGAGAAGUGGGGAGAGUCAGCAGCUUCUGCCGGAAGGGGUGGGGGCUGUGGUGGGGAGAGGAGGGAAAGGAAGAAAAGGGGGGAGACUUCCCAGCCGGGAAAGUCACUUAAGAGGCCUCCCUCUGAGCCCCCUGGGCAGCCUGUGGUGGGGCCGGAGACCGCAACGCAGGCAUCUACUGCGUCCCCACCCCAAACCGCACCCCC
Non-coding RNA from Delphinapterus leucas (beluga whale), 4186 nucleotides. The record is from RefSeq and is a predicted model, not a curated record. NCBI's taxonomy places the organism in Eukaryota, Metazoa, Chordata, Mammalia, Artiodactyla, Monodontidae.